Molecule: long non-coding RNA, 1320 nt
Organism: Bos taurus (domestic cattle)
Lineage: Eukaryota; Metazoa; Chordata; Mammalia; Artiodactyla; Bovidae
Source: Ensembl
GGGAGGGGAGGUAGGUAGCUAAGUAGCCCUGAUGGGGGCUCUCAGAAAGGCACCCCAGGGCUUGGCGGUCGGCAUGGCUGCCCUCUGCCCGGAACCUGGGAUCUUGGAGGAACCCCUCUUUCCCCUCUAGUUAAGUAACCAAAUGUUUGCUGGACACACACAGCGUGGUCCCUUCAUGUGCCGGGUGUUUGGGGGAGGAGGGAUCAGAGGAGAGGACAGUCUUUGCUUUCUGGAGUUUGCUGCGGAAGCAUUAAUUAGGAGGACGAUAAAAGGCAAUGUCACAUUAAGAGCAUAACUGCUGGUUAGAAAUACGUUAUCGCUCUGGGCUCUAGGCUCCUGAAAGACAUGCCCACGUGUAGGCUGACGAGAUCAAGCUGCCAGCAUUAGAACGAGCCGCCACCUGCAAAAACAGGUUGUGGUUCCGAGUUGGUUUUGUGAAAGGAAUCGUCAGACCAACACCACCUGGGGGACAAAGCUGGAGGACGGCCCGACGUAACUCCCACUUGGAGGCUGAAGCAGCCGCAGAGAAGAGGGUACAAAGAUGGCGCUCUCCGUGGCCGCACCGCGCACCCAGCAUCCAGCCUCGCUCAAGACACUAGCGCUCCUUCAGACACAUGCGCAGUCGCUUCAGUUCUCCUCCAGGGAACGCCAGCCGGGAGGACACACAGCCUCUUACUUCCAGAGCCCUGGUUCCUGCGGUCCACCGCAAGCGGGGUGUCCUCGUAACCACACCCUGGCCUCGCGUCAACCAGACGAGGUUCAGAUGCAGCGGGAGCACCAGCUGCCCACAGAGAUCUCUGGGAGGGCGGGAAACUCCAGCGUGGAUUUGAUGAAGGACAGAGCCUCCAAGUGGCUCCUGGGAUCCGUCAGUGUGAGACCUACAUGGAUGAUGUGCAGAAACUUUGCACGUGGAAAACACCCAACAUUCUUUCUUUCUUCUUGUUAUAUUUUAUUUUGGCUGCCCUGGGUCUUCCUUGCAGCCUGUGGGCUUUCUCUAAUUGGGGUGCGCAUGGGCUUCUCUCGUGGCAUAUGGUCUCUAGAGCAUGCGAGCUCAGUAGUUGGGACACGUGGGCCUUCUCUAGUUGUGGUGCAAGGGCUUAGUGGCCCUGUGGCGUGUGGGAUCUUAGUUCCUCGACCAGGGAUCAAACCUGCGUCCCUUACAGUGAGAGGCAGAGCCUUAACCACUGGGCCACCAGGAAAUUCUCCCAACACUCUACUUUUAUAUCUAUAUGAGAUGAUGGAUGUUCGCUGAACUUAUUGUGGUCAUCAUUCCAGGAUGCAUGUAAGUCAAAUCAUGAAGCUGUCACCUUAAACUUGCAC